GGAUGUGAGGGCGAUCUGGCUGCGACAUCUGUCACCCCAUUGAUCGCCAGGGUUGAUUCGGCUGAUCUGGCUGGCUAGGCGGGUGUCCCCUUCCUCCCUCACUGCUCCAUGUGCGUCCCUCCCGAAGCUGCGAGCUUGGUCGAAGAGGACCGCCUUCCCCGAAUUGGUCGAGGGUAUACCGUAGCUGCGCUAGCCUGCUAGAACCUCCAAACAAGCUCUCAAGAAUAGGAAAGCUAUCAGGGGAGGGGAUGGGAUACGGAGGUCUGGUGGUGGGAAUUGUGCGAAGUUGUACCCCUCUUAUC
RNAcentral lists this small nuclear RNA (302 nucleotides) under Erinaceus europaeus (western European hedgehog). RNAcentral describes it as "7SK RNA". The stretch from base 1 to 257 matches the Rfam family "7SK RNA". Rfam says of the family: 7SK was discovered as an abundant small nuclear RNA in the mid-70s but a possible function has only recently been suggested. Two independent studies have found that 7SK RNA binds the CDK9/cyclin T complex (known as elongation factor P-TEFb). Lineage: Eukaryota; Metazoa; Chordata; Mammalia; Eulipotyphla; Erinaceidae. The record is from Rfam by way of RNAcentral.